GACGAACGCUGGCGGCGCGCCUAACACAUGCAAGUCGAACGAGCGAGAGAGAGCUUGCUUUCUCGAGCGAGUGGCGAACGGGUGAGUAACGCGUGAGGAACCUGCCUCAAAGAGGGGGACAACAGCUGGAAACGACUGCUAAUACCGCAUAAGCCCACGGCUCGGCAUCGAGCAGGGGGAAAAGGAGCAAUCCGCUUUGAGAUGGCCUCGCGUCCGAUUAGCUAGUUGGUGGGGUAACGGCCCACCAAGGCGACGAUCGGUAGCCGGACUGAGAGGUUGAACGGCCACAUUGGGACUGAGACACGGCCCAGACUCCUACGGGAGGCAGCAGUGGGGAAUAUUGCACAAUGGGGGAAACCCUGAUGCAGCGACGCCGCGUGGAGGAAGAAGGUCUUCGGAUUGUAAACUCCUGUUGUUGGGGAAGAUAAUGACGGUACCCAACAAGGAAGUGACGGCUAACUACGUG
RNAcentral lists this ribosomal RNA (466 nucleotides) under uncultured bacterium. Its description in RNAcentral is "partial 16S ribosomal RNA". It matches the Rfam family "Bacterial small subunit ribosomal RNA", at positions 28 to 507 of the family's 1533-position model. The record is from RNAcentral.